GACGAACGCUGGCGGCGUGCUUAACACAUGCAAGUCGAACGAAGUGGCGCACGGGUGAGUAACGCGUAAUCAACCUGCCCUUCAGCGGGGGACAACAGUUGGAAACGACUGCUAAUACCGCAUACUGAAGGUGGGGCUUGCGUCUGCUUAGCUAGUUGGGGGGGUAACGGGCCACCAGGGCGAGGAUCAGUAGCCGGGCUGAGAGGAUGAACGGCCACAUUGGGACUGAGACACGGCACAGAAUCCUACGGGAGGCAGCAGUGGGGAAUCGUCCGCAAUGGAGGAAAGUCUGACGGAGAAACGCCGCGUGAGUGAUGACGGCCUUCGGGUUGUAAAGCUCUGUUAAUCGGGACGCGGUACCGGAAUAGAAAGCCACGGCUAACUACGUGCCAGCAGCCGCGGUAAUUC
Molecule: ribosomal RNA, 408 nt
Filed under: uncultured bacterium
Lineage: Bacteria
Description: partial 16S ribosomal RNA
Rfam family: Bacterial small subunit ribosomal RNA
Source: RNAcentral